Brachypodium distachyon (stiff brome) is the source of this 136-nucleotide non-coding RNA. The record is from Rfam. NCBI's taxonomy places the organism in Eukaryota, Viridiplantae, Streptophyta, Magnoliopsida, Poales, Poaceae.
AUGUUAUUUCCUCCGUCCAACAAAAGAUGUCUCAACUUUGACUAAAUUUGAAUGCAUCUAUACACUAAGUCAUGUCUAAAUACAUCCAAAUUUUGACAAACUUGAGACAUCUUUUGUUGGACCGAGGAAUUAUGUC